This 253-nucleotide ribosomal RNA is filed under the name uncultured prokaryote. Its description in RNAcentral is "partial 16S ribosomal RNA". It matches the Rfam family "Bacterial small subunit ribosomal RNA", at positions 524 to 776 of the family's 1533-position model. The record is from RNAcentral.
UACAGAGGUCUCAAGCGUUGUUCGGAUUCAUUGGGCGUAAAGCGUGCGCAGGCGGUUUUGUAAGUCUGUCGUGAAAUCCCCGGGCUCAACCUGGGAAUGGCGAUGGAGACUGCAAGGCUAGAGUUUGGCAGAGGGGGGUAGAAUUCCACGUGUAGCAGUGAAAUGCGUAGAUAUGUGGAGGAACACCGAUGGCGAAGGCAGCCCCCUGGGUCAAAACUGACGCUCAUGCACGAAAGCGUGGGGAGCAAACAGG